UACAGAGGGUGCGAGCGUUAAUCGGAAUUACUGGGCGUAAAGCGCACGUAGUCGGCUUUGCAAGUCGGGUGUGAAAUCCCCGGGCUCAACCUGGGAACUGCAUCCGAGACUGCAUUGCUAGAGUAUGGGAGAGGGAAGUGGAAUUUCCGGUGUAGCGGUGAAAUGCGUAGAUAUCGGAAGGAACAUCAGUGGCGAAGGCGACUUCCUGGACCAAUACUGACGCUCAGGUGCGAAAGCGUGGGGAGCAAACAGG
This 253-nucleotide ribosomal RNA is filed under the name uncultured bacterium. RNAcentral's name for it is "partial 16S ribosomal RNA". It matches the Rfam family "Bacterial small subunit ribosomal RNA", at positions 524 to 776 of the family's 1533-position model. The record is from RNAcentral.